Long non-coding RNA from Homo sapiens (human), 1310 nucleotides. RefSeq annotates it as YTHDC2 divergent transcript. The record is from RefSeq and is a predicted model, not a curated record. The transcript has 2 exons. NCBI's taxonomy places the organism in Eukaryota, Metazoa, Chordata, Mammalia, Primates, Hominidae.
GACCUCAGCGCGGCCGCCGCUGCGCGCCUAAAGGAGGCUGUCUGCGGAGCUAUGGUGCGGUUCUCUUCCCGCGCCGCCCACCAAGGGUCGCUCCUCAUCUUCUUAUUCACUCACUUGCUACUUCGUUUAGUCCUUCAUUAAUUCCUGCAGUAAGCAUGUAUGGGCUUCUACUGUGGACCUGGCAUUAUGCCACGCCUUCGAUGUACAUUGGAGAACCAGAGAGCCAAGGCAUUAUAUUUCCCAACUCUCCUGCAGUUAGCUGGGGGCCACAUGGCUGAGUUCCGGCCAUUGGAAUGUUGCUGGAACUGAUGUAUACCACUUCCAGGAUUGGUCUAUAACACCUUCCUUGAAUCUUCCCUUCUCUGUCUUUCCUGGUCUUCUGGAAGUUCUUAGACAACGGUGGAACCACUAGAUAGAUAACAGGUUCCCGAUUCCCUGAACGAGUGUGAUAGAGUGUCCUCACCAACCCACAUUGGAAUAUGACAUGGGUAAGAAAUAAUUCUUAGUUGUGGUAAACUGCUGAGAUUUGGGAAGAUUUUUUUUUGUAACAUUAUGGUAAAUUGUUGAAUUCAUCAAAGGUAUGGCCUUUGAUGAAUCACACAUUCCUCUGUUCACACCCUUGUAUUCUUCCUUCCCACAUGGACUCUGUCUUUGGCUAUGUAACUUGCUUUGGCCAUUGGGACAUCAGCAAAUACGAGAUAAGCAGGGGCUUGAAAGGUGUUUGUGCAUUAAGGCUUAGCCUGUUUUGCUGCUGAGAAUUCUUCUUCCACAAAGUAAAGAAGCUUAGGCUAGCCCACUGACAACUAUGGCCCAAUCAUCCACCAGCACCAAGGGCAAGACGUGAAAAAGGCCAUAAUGGAAAGUCUAGUCUUAGAAAAGCUGCUGGAUGACCACAACUCUGUAAGCAACCCAAAGCAAGAUUAGCAAAACCACCUAGCUAAACAUAGUCCAAACUGUUGACCCACAGAACACAUAAACAAAUAAAAUGAAUAUUGCUGUAAGCCACUAAGUUUUAGGUUGGGUUUCUUACACAGCAGUAGAUAACUGAUACAAAGAGUUAGCUUAUUCUGACUAAUAUAUUUGUACAAUGAUAAGGCUGAUCUUGGGCAUAAGUGACUAGGCUGAAAGAACUAGCUUCACCCGUUCCAGUUUGUACCCAGUUGCCUAAGAACUGGGGUCAUCAACAUCUUGAUAUGCCUGUAAACAACUUGUGGCAUACGAGCAUGCCACAGCACAGUGGUCUGGAGACUGCUCUCUUCUCAUCUAUAAAAUUGACCUGGUAGAGUAAUAAAGUCUUAAAAUAUAACCAA